This 435-nucleotide ribosomal RNA is filed under the name uncultured bacterium. RNAcentral describes it as "partial 16S ribosomal RNA". It matches the Rfam family "Bacterial small subunit ribosomal RNA", at positions 28 to 507 of the family's 1533-position model. The record is from RNAcentral.
GAUGAACGCUGGCGGUAUGCUUAACACAUGCAAGUCGAACGGACUCUUCGGAGUUAGUGGCGGACGGGUGAGUAACGCGUGAGAAUCUGGCUUUGGGUUCGGGACAACCACUGGAAACGGUGGCUAAUACCGGAUGUGCCGAGAGGUAAAAGAGAAAUUGCCUGAAGAUGAGCUCGCGUCUGAUUAGCUAGUUGGUGAGGUAAAGGCUCACCAAGGCAGCGAUCAGUAGCUGGUCUGAGAGGAUGACCAGCCACACUGGGACUGAGACACGGCCCAGACUCCUACGGGAGGCAGCAGUGGGGAAUUUUCCGAAAUGGGCGAAGGCCUGACGGAGCAGUACCGCGUGAGGGAAGAAGGCUCUUGGGUUGUAAACCUCUUUUCUUAGGGAAGAACAAAAUGACGGUACCUAAGGAAUCAGCAUCGGCUAACUCCGUG